RNAcentral lists this ribosomal RNA (253 nucleotides) under uncultured bacterium. RNAcentral's name for it is "partial 16S ribosomal RNA". It matches the Rfam family "Bacterial small subunit ribosomal RNA", at positions 524 to 776 of the family's 1533-position model. The record is from RNAcentral.
UACGGAGGGUGCAAGCGUUAUCCGGAUUCACUGGGUUUAAAGGGUGCGUAGGCGGAUUGGUAAGUCCGUGGUGAAAUCCCCGAGCUUAACUUGGGAACUGCCGUGGAUACUAUCAGUCUUGAAUAUCGUGGAGGUAAGCGGAAUAUGUCAUGUAGCGGUGAAAUGCUUAGAUAUGACAUAGAACACCAAUUGCGUAGGCAGCUUACUAAUCGAUCAUUGACGCUGAGGCACGAAAGCGUGGGGAGCAAACAGG